RNAcentral lists this ribosomal RNA (115 nucleotides) under Propithecus coquereli (Coquerel's sifaka). Lineage: Eukaryota; Metazoa; Chordata; Mammalia; Primates; Indriidae. The record is from RNAcentral.
GUCUAUGGCCAUACCACCCUGAACGCGUCCAAUCUCAUCUGAUCUCAGAAGCUAAGCACGGUCAGGCCUGGUUAGUACUUGGAUGGGAGAAAUGAAAAAGGAGAUAUUACAACUU